CAGCCGCCGCGGGAAUACGAAGGGGGCUAGCGUUGUUCGGAUUUACUGGGCGUAAAGCGCACGUAGGCGGAUCGAUCAGUCAGGGGUGAAAUCCCAGAGCUCAACUCUGGAACUGUCUUUGAUACUGUCGAUCUGGAGUAUGGAAGAGGUGAGUGGAAUUCCGAGUGUAGCGGUGAAAUGCGUAGAUAUCGGAAGGAACACCUGUGGCGAAAGCGGCUCACUGGACAAUAACUGACGCUGAUGCACGAAAGCUAGGGGAGCAAGCAGGAUUAGAUACCCGUGUAGUCCCUGUCUCUUAUAC
This 301-nucleotide ribosomal RNA is filed under the name uncultured bacterium. RNAcentral's name for it is "partial 16S ribosomal RNA". It matches the Rfam family "Bacterial small subunit ribosomal RNA", at positions 509 to 807 of the family's 1533-position model. The record is from RNAcentral.